RNAcentral lists this ribosomal RNA (253 nucleotides) under uncultured bacterium. RNAcentral's name for it is "partial 16S ribosomal RNA". It matches the Rfam family "Bacterial small subunit ribosomal RNA", at positions 524 to 776 of the family's 1533-position model. The record is from RNAcentral.
UACGUAGGGUGCAAGCGUUGUCCGGAUUUAUUGGGCGUAAAGAGCUCGUAGGCGGUCUGUCGCGUCGGAUGUGAAAACCCAGGGCUCAACCCUGGGCCUGCAUUCGAUACGGGCAGACUAGAGUGUGGCAGGGGAGACUGGAAUUCCUGGUGUAGCGGUGAAAUGCGCAGAUAUCAGGAGGAACACCGAUGGCGAAGGCAGGUCUCUGGGCUGUAACUGACGCUGAGGAGCGAAAGCAUGGGGAGCGAACAGG